Pelobates cultripes (western spadefoot toad) is the source of this 218-nucleotide non-coding RNA. Lineage: Eukaryota; Metazoa; Chordata; Amphibia; Anura; Pelobatidae. The record is from the annotation of a GenBank genome assembly.
GGGUCCUCGAGAGGGGUGAUUGUCAUAUUGCCAGGGUGUGUGUGAGAGUAUCCUCCGAGGUUUCCUUGUGUGAUGUGGGAGUAAUGUGUGUGCAAGUGAACGAAGGUUGUAGCAUUAUUGGUGCAUAUGGGGAGCGUACUUUAAUGAAUAUUGUACCUCGUACUGAGGUGCGUGAUGUUAGGGAGAGGCUGAGAGUAUGUUUAGAGAUCAUAUGUGAG